Molecule: long non-coding RNA, 600 nt
Organism: Camelina sativa (false flax)
Lineage: Eukaryota; Viridiplantae; Streptophyta; Magnoliopsida; Brassicales; Brassicaceae
Source: RefSeq, a predicted model, not a curated record
UUUCCAACAUUAGCAUUUGAGCACUUAAGAAUAUUGAUAUUAUUAUUGUCUAUAUAAAAGAAAUAUCAAAUUAGCAUUCACAAUUUCUCUAUAUUUUACGUCGUCGUUACGACGACGAUCGUCUCCGGUGAGUUCUAACAGUUUUCAGACGAGGAAGAUGAUCACUUCAUGCACCAAUCCUCCAUCAAAUCUGACAAUUUCCGAAGCCUCGAUGCUGAUGAAUCUGAGUUAGAGAUUGAGAUAACCAACAAUGGCCGUUCCAAGGACAUCAAUGUAUCUAGACCCGACGAUGCUCCUUUCCACGACAAAAAUGAUGGUGGUUCAAUUGAUCGCAUCUUUCAUCGGACCUCUCGUCACGAGGAAGAGGGGAAGAAGAAGAAGAUUCAUUUGCUCCAGGAUAGUUGUCGCAUCUGAUUUAUAUCAGGGAAACACGUCUCUUGCCGGAAACCAUAUGAACCAACAUAGAAAAAAACAGGAGAAACUUUUUUUAGAGCCAUGGAUGUGCCUAGCUCUUGGGAUGCUUUAUGGAAACAGUUUUCAUGUGAAUCCCACAUGAUAGAAAGAUUGAAGUUCAGCUCGACGAGCAUAUGCAUUCUUAUC